AUACGUAGGGGGCAAGCGUUGUCCGGAUUUACUGGGUGUAAAGGGUGCGCAGGUGGGUCGGUAAGUCAGAGGUGAAAUCCUGCAGCUUAACUGCAGAACUGCCUUUGAUACUGCUGAUCUUGAGUUCAGAAGAGAUAAGCGGAAUUCCAGGUGUAGUAGUGAAAUACGUAGAUAUCUGGAAGAACACCGGUGGCGAAGGCGGCUUAUUGGUCUGAUACUGACACUCAGGCACGAAAGCGUGGGUAGCGAACAGGAUUAGAUACCCUGGUAGUCCACGCUGUAAACGAUGAAUACUAGGUGUCGGGCAGCAAUGCUCGGCGCCGCAGCUAACGCAUUAAGUAUUCCACCUGGGGAGUACGAUCGCAAGGUUGAA
Molecule: ribosomal RNA, 373 nt
Filed under: uncultured bacterium
Lineage: Bacteria
Description: bacterial SSU rRNA
Rfam family: Bacterial small subunit ribosomal RNA
Source: RNAcentral